GUUGGAAUCGGUUAGAGACCAGAUAAAUUGUAAUGCCAUCUAUUUUUAAUUUUGAAUCUCUUUGAUUAAGGCAAAUUUAUUUUGCAAAUUCGAUUUUAUUCCGCAUUAUGUAAAAUUGACGCCCAUUCCAAGAUGGUACUUAUGUCACUGAAGUGGGGCAAAGUCUGAAAAGAAAUACAUUGGGUAGGAACCAUCCUGAGCAUUAUAUUUUUCUUCAAGGGUUCAAUACCAGCUCGACAGCCAUGUGUUUAAAACCAAUUGUCAGGAGCCAAAUCUCAGAGUGGCCAGUGCUCUAUGAGACCCCCAGUCCUGAUCCAAAUUUUCUCAUCUGAAGUUCCCUCUCCCACACUCAUUUUAGAAAUGGGAUGUUCUUACUGAACAGCUACCUUUUUUUAAUUAUUAUUAUUAUUUCUGGCUACAUUAUUUGUCUAUGAUUUUAUUUAUCCAGGGUUUUCUAUUUUUUAAUUAUAGUAUAUAAUAUAUACAUAGUUGAAAUAGCAAAUUGUAUUUAUGGGUUUAUCAGCCGUGACAAUAACAACAGAAACAUGGAGAAAAAUAAAAUACUGCAUUGUGACUUCAACCUCUCCCACCAGAACAGAAUCUUCCUAUCAUCAUUCUCGCCAAUCCCCUAGGCAACAGCGGAGGUAUGCUGGGAGACUUCCAUAUAAGGUGCUUCAGGUAGUAAUGGCGCCAACAUAAAUUUAGUCAUGGAUAACUUCAAAUAUUUACGAUGGUCCCCUGAGACACCACCUGAAAUGAAGUCUCAGGAUCCUGUGUUUCCUGCACAGUCCACAAAGCACGAUGUUGAGUCACCUGCUCUCAGAGUCCAUGACAGAGAAGCUAAAUUAUCCUUCACUCAAGACAGAAAAGUUCAAGGGCAAAUGUUUCGUCCACCACCACGCUUAGGAGCUGUUGACACAUCCUGGAUUUAGCUCUUUUUGAACUCUCUCCUGGUCUCAAUCCCUCCUCCCCAGAGAAACUACAAGAACAUUUCACUGAAAAAUCUCCCCACAGAGGAAAGGACAGCCCUGGCAGGAGUUCUGAUGGGCCUCAUGCUGUCGCUGGUUCAGGAUGCUUGGCUGCCUCCAGCUGCACUGUAGGGACAAACUGCAGAGGGAGAGGUUCCCACUGUGCCCCAUUUGAGCACUGAUCUGUUUACUGCCUACAGGCUUAACCUCCAAAUGGACUCUGGGCCUUGCCAGUCCGAGG
This 1209-nucleotide long non-coding RNA is filed under the name Pan troglodytes (chimpanzee). Its description in RNAcentral is "lncRNA (ENSPTRG00000052934.1)". The record is from RNAcentral. Lineage: Eukaryota; Metazoa; Chordata; Mammalia; Primates; Hominidae.